ACGGAGGGUGCAAGCGUUGCUCGGAAUCACUGGGCGUAAAGGGAGCGCAGGCGGUUAACUAAGUCAGGUGUGAAAGCCCAGAGCUCAACUCUGGAACUGCAUCUGAAACUGGUAAACUAGAGGAAGAAAGAGGAAAGUAGAAUUCCUGGUGUAGAGGUGAAAUUCGUUGAUAUCAGGAGGAAUACCCGUGGCGAAGGCGGCUUUCUGGUUCUUUUCUGACGCUGAGGCUCGAAAGUGUGGGGAGCAAACAGG
This 252-nucleotide ribosomal RNA is filed under the name uncultured bacterium. RNAcentral describes it as "partial 16S ribosomal RNA". It matches the Rfam family "Bacterial small subunit ribosomal RNA", at positions 525 to 776 of the family's 1533-position model. The record is from RNAcentral.